AGCCCCACUUUUCUCCUAAAUCAAACUUUUUCGACCUCAGUAACCCAAUUUAGCCCCCCAAAUCCCCAUUUCUCACCCAGAAAUCACUUUUAAACAAGAUCACCAAUUUAACCCCCAAAAGUGCCCGUUUUUAACCUCACAAAUCCCCUCUUCUCACCAAAAUCCCCCUUUUCCCCACAAAAUCCCAUCUGUUGAACCCCAGAAUUCCCAUUUCUCAGCACAAAUCUUCAUCUCAAACCCACAUAUCCCUAUUUUUAAAACACCAAACCUCCAUUUUACACCCCAAAAGCCCCACUUUUCUCCAAAUUCUGCCUUUUUCCACCCAAAUAUCCAUAUUUUAACCCCUAAAUGCCCAUUUUCGCCCACAAAAUCCCAAUUUAACCCCCAAAAUCCCCAUUUCUCAACCCAAAUCCCUGUUGUACACCCACAAAUCCUCAUUUUUAAUUGGGGCAAAGCCCAGCUCCGUAGCCAUGGUGGUGUUUUUCCGGGAUGUUUGCGUGUGCCUGUGUCGAUAAUUCUCUGGGCAAGGAGCUUGCCCACAGAGGUUGUGAAGAGGAUGGUCUGGAGCCUGACAUGUCUUCUCAUUCAUUUGCAGAGAUUGUGGCGAUCUGGGAUGCGGUGUCUGAUUAUAUCCUGGAGCAGAUGAAGCUGGACAAGGACUCGGGGUCUUUGCUGUGAUCCAAGAGCAAUUCCACAGCAAAGAAGAGGCGGUUUCGGUUCGAAGACCUGUCUUCCAGAUGGACCUCGGUGUGCUGUGGCUGGAGGACGUCCAGUCUCCCAACGAGAUUGUCCCUGACUGUGUCAAGAUUGAGCCGCUGAACUACCGGCAGCUAGCGCGAGCCACCGCCUUCCCGCUGCACGUGGUGCAGCUCUGUGUGCAAGAGACCAUCCUCUUGUACUGCCACUUCCUGAAGAACAAGGUGCACAUCUCGUUCGCCUUCAAGCACUUGCGCGUUCUGACGUGCAAAGAUGACUUCCUCUGCAUGAGGUUCUACUACAACUGCAUUGCUAUGCUGGAGAGCAAUGCAAGACCGAUUGCAGCACUCCACAGCAGAAUUUGGCCGGAACAUUCUGCUGACUUCAGCCCAGAAACCACCGCUCACGGGAUCCAGGUGUUCCCGAGGUUUCAGCUCACCGUGAAAAAGAGUAGAGCAGAGGCCACCUCCAACGACGAAGCCGCGGGCGAGGACAAAAUCAGCAGAGGUGAGGGAACGGGUCCCUGCUGUGCGGAGGUGGGCCCUGUCCCGUGCCGGGUCACCAGAUCCAGGUUUGUGUCCCGUGCCCAUGGAGCUGCUCUGAAGAGGUUCUUCCUUCCCUAGUUCCAGGGGGCCCUGCUAUCAGGCUGCUGCAGAGGCCGAAGACGCUUCCCCUCUCCAUGCUGCUGAGCUGCGAGCCAGGCACGAGGCAGCAGGAUGCAGCCAAGAAGCCUUCUGCCAGGUGAGAGCCUUGGGUGAAAAGAGGAAGGAGAUGCGUGAGCUCAUGUCGGAGUCACCUCCCCUUUGGACCUGCCAGCUCUCGGGACUCAGAAAGCCUCCUGACACACAUGCGUCCCAGUGGGGACCGUUCUCUCAAGGGAUGGCAAGUGCACAGCAUGAUUGCCCGAGGCAGACACGCCAGCUUCAUUUUCCACCC
Numida meleagris (helmeted guineafowl) is the source of this 1632-nucleotide long non-coding RNA. The record is from Ensembl. NCBI's taxonomy places the organism in Eukaryota, Metazoa, Chordata, Aves, Galliformes, Numididae.